UGUACAGUAAGCUUUGCUCACCAAGGGAGUCUUGCUCACCUCCAAGCCUCAAACAGAGGAGGUGUGGCCAAUGUCAACUUUUCAAGCAUUAAUACUUAUGCUUGCAUUCGGGUCAUUUAUAAUUGCCCUGUUGACAUACAUCAAUAAAAAAUAGACCUCCCCUUGGCCCUGAAGAAGUUUAAGGGAAUGGUCUAUCUGCAAAGAAAGAACCAAUGAGCAAGCCCUUUGAUGGGCAGCUUAGUACAAACAAUGACCUGUGGGUGUUGGAGCACCCCUG
RNAcentral lists this small RNA (277 nucleotides) under Bacillus subtilis J24. Its description in RNAcentral is "BsrG". It matches the Rfam family "BsrG". From Rfam's summary of the family: bsrE, bsrG and bsrH pair through intermolecular interactions with antisense sRNAs. RNAcentral also lists the same sequence under 1 other name. Lineage: Bacteria; Bacillati; Bacillota; Bacilli; Caryophanales; Bacillaceae. The record is from RNAcentral.